CGCAAUGGGCGAAAGCCUGACGCAGCAACGCCGCGUGGGGGAUGACGGCCUUCGGGUUGUAAACCCCUUUCAGGAGGGAAGAAAUUGACGGUACCUCCAGAAGAAGCCCCGGCCAACUACGUGCCAGCAGCCGCGGUAAUACGUAGGGGGCAAGCGUUGUCCGGAAUUAUUGGGCGUAAAGAGCUCGUAGGCGGCUCAGCAAGUCGGCUGUGAAAUCCCGAGGCUCAACCUCGGAACUGCAGUCGAUACUGCUGUGGCUAGAGUCUGGUAGAGGAGAAUGGAAUUCCCGGUGUAGCGGUGAAAUGCGCAGAUAUCGGGAGGAACACCAGUAGCGAAGGCGGUUCUCUGGGCCAGUACUGACGCUGAGGAGCGAAAGCGUGGGUAGCAAACAGGAUUAGAUACCCUGGUAGUCCACGCCGUAAACGAUGUCAACUAGUUGUUCGGAGAGGUAACUUUCUGAGUAACGCAGCUAACGCGUGAAGUUGACCGCCUGGGGAGUACGGCCGCAAGGUUA
Molecule: ribosomal RNA, 514 nt
Filed under: uncultured Actinomycetes bacterium
Lineage: Bacteria; Bacillati; Actinomycetota; Actinomycetes
Description: bacterial SSU rRNA
Rfam family: Bacterial small subunit ribosomal RNA
Source: RNAcentral